This 468-nucleotide ribosomal RNA is filed under the name uncultured bacterium. Its description in RNAcentral is "partial 16S ribosomal RNA". It matches the Rfam family "Bacterial small subunit ribosomal RNA", at positions 28 to 507 of the family's 1533-position model. The record is from RNAcentral.
GACGAACGCUGGCGGCGUGCUUAACACAUGCAAGUCGAACGGACAGGCCCUGCUUUUGUUGGGUGCUCGAGUGGCGAACGGGUGAGUAACACGUGAGUAACCUGCCCUUGACUUUGGGAUAACUUCAGGAAACUGGGGCUCAUACCGGAUAGGAGCUCCUGCUGCAUGGUGGGGGUUGGAAAGUUUCGGCUGUUGGGGAUCGACUCGCGGCUUAUCAGCUUGUUGGUGUGGUAGUGGCUUACCAAGGCUUUGACGGGUAGCCGGCCUGAGAGGGUGACCGGCGACAUUGGGACUGAGAUACGGCCCAGACGCCUACGGGAGGCAGCGGUGGGGAAUAUUGCACAAUGGGCGGAAGCCUGAUGCAGCAACGCCGGGUGCGGGAUGACGGCCUUCGGGUUGUAAACCGCUUUCGCAUGUGACGAAGCGUGAGUGACGGUAAUGGGUAAAGAAGCACCGGCUAACUACGUG